UACGUAGGGGGCAAGCGUUGUCCAGAUUUAUUGGGCGUAAAGAGCGUGUAGGCGGCCAUACAGGUCAGCUGUGAAAACUCGAGGCUCAACCUCGAGACGUCGGUUGAAACCGUAUGGCUAGAGUCCGGAAGAGGAGAGUGGAAUUCCCGGUGUAGCGGUGAAAUGCGCAGAGAUGCGGAGGAACACCAGUGGCGAAAGCGGCUUUCUGGUCCUUAACUGACGCUGAGGCGCGAAAGCAUGGGGAGCGAACGGG
Molecule: ribosomal RNA, 253 nt
Filed under: uncultured bacterium
Lineage: Bacteria
Description: partial 16S ribosomal RNA
Rfam family: Bacterial small subunit ribosomal RNA
Source: RNAcentral